CCUAGUAGCUGUAUCACCCUGCAGCUAGCAAACCAGUGAAGGUAAGCAGGCGUGAGCCUGGUCAGUACCUGGAUGAGAGACCUCCUGGGAAAAACUAAUGUUGCUGCUGGAA
This 112-nucleotide ribosomal RNA is filed under the name Lepisosteus oculatus (spotted gar). The record is from RNAcentral. Lineage: Eukaryota; Metazoa; Chordata; Actinopteri; Semionotiformes; Lepisosteidae.